UAGCUAGUUGGUGAGGUAACGGCCCACCAAGGCAACGAUCGGUAGCCGGACUGAGAGGUUGAACGGCCACAUUGGGACUGAGACACGGCCCAGACUCCUACGGGAGGCAGCAGUGGGGAAUAUUGCACAAUGGGGGAAACCCUGAUGCAGCGACGCCGCGUGGAGGAAGAAGGUCUUCGGGUUGUAAACUCCUGUUGUUGAGGAAGAUAAUGACGGUACUCAACAAGGAAGUGACGGCUAACUACGUGCCAGCAGCCGCGGUAAAACGUAGGUCACAAGCGUUGUCCGGACUUACUGGGUGUAAAGGGAGCGCAGGCGGGAAGACAAGUUGGAAGUGAAAUCCAUGGGCUCAACCCAUGAACUGCUUUCAAAACUGUUUUUCUUGAGUAGUGCAGAGGUAGGCGGAAUUCCCGGUGUAGCGGUGGAAUGCGUAGAUAUCGGGAGGAACACCAGUGGCGAAGGCGGCCUACUGGGCACCAACUGACGCUGAGGCUCGAAAGUGUGGGUAGCAAACAGGAUUAGAUACCCUGGUAGUCCACACCGUAAACGAUGAUUACUAGGUGUUGGAGGAUUGACCCCUUCAGUGCCGCAGUUAACACAAUAAGUAAUCCACCUGGGGAGUACGACCGCAAGGUUGAAACUCAAAGGAAUUGACGGGGGCCCGCACGAGCAGUGGAGUAUGUGGUUUAAUUCGACGCAACGCGAAGAACCUUACCAAGUCUUGACAUCCUGCGACGAUGCUGGAAACAGUAUUUUCCUUCGGGACGCAGAGACAGGUGGUGCAUGGUUGUCGUCAGCUCGUGUCGUGAGAUGUUGGGUUAAGCCCCGCAACGAGCGCAACCCUUAUGGUCAGUUACUACGCAAGAGGACUCUGGCCAGACUGCCGUUGACAAAACGGAGGAAGGUGGGGAUGACGUCAAAUCAUCAUGCCCUUUAUGACUUGGGCUACACACGUACUACAAUGGCGUUAAACAAAGAGAAGCAAGACCGCGAGGUGGAGCAAAACUCAGAAACAACGUCCCAGUUCGGACUGCAGGCUGCAACUCGCCUGCACGAAGUCGGAAUUGCUAGUAAUCGUGGAUCAGCAUGCCACGGUGAAUACGUUCCCGGGCCUUGUACACACCGCCCGUCACACCAUGAGAGCCGGGGGGACCCGAAGUCGGUAGUCUAACCGCAAGGAGGACGCCGCCGAAGGUAAAACUGGUGAUUGGGGUGAAGUCGUAACAAGGUAA
This 1232-nucleotide ribosomal RNA is filed under the name metagenome. RNAcentral describes it as "bacterial SSU rRNA". It matches the Rfam family "Bacterial small subunit ribosomal RNA", at positions 242 to 1499 of the family's 1533-position model. The record is from RNAcentral.